UGAAAGUGAGGUCACUCAGUCGUGUCUGACUCCCAGCGACCCCAUGGACUGCAGCCUACCAGGCUCCUCCAUCCAUGGGAUUUUCCAGGCAAGAGUACUGGAGUGGGGUGCCAUUGCCUUUUCUGAGGCGGCCUCUAGUAACUUUAAAAAGGCAACAGAAUGGACGUUCCCCUCAGAACCUCCAGACUCAAUGGGCCCCGCCAGCACCUGGAUCUCAGCUCAGCCAAGCCGAAUUUUAAUUUCUGACUUCCAGAGCUCUAAGUUUCACUUGCACACAGGGUGCUGCGGCCGAGGCCUCAGCCCAGAGUUCUUCCUCCCAAAACGGCUGCACCCAACAGUUCAGCUCUGCAGACCUCGUGCAAAAGCCCUGCCCCCGGCACUUCAAGAUGGCGGCCGUGGGCCGCUGCACCUGGUGUGGCAAUCUGGAGCCCUGAGCAGCACACCUGUGCAAACUUGGGAGCGCCCUCCCCUCCCCUCCCCUCCCCUCCCCGCUGCUGAGAUCCAUCUAAAGCAGCCCCUCCCACAGCCCGUGGGGAGAGCGUGAACUCUGCUAUUAGGUUCAGAUUCAUUUAGAGUGGGUUUGUCCUUUUGGUGACCACAUUAUCAUUUGAUAAUGUCCCUGUCUAUACUUGGUUAUAGUCCUGUUGAGUUUUCAAAAUACAACAGGAACGGAAGCUGUGUGGCUGAUCUAGCCUUAUUUAUAUGGGGCACAUCAUUUUAAAAUGAGAACCUCACACAUAAAUGGUUUUUAGGACACAUGAAAUGUAGCUUCUUUUGCUUUUGAAAGUCUUAUAGAUUUGCAGGCAAACAACAACAAAAACUGUUUCAUUCCCUCACCUUAAAAGCUGACAUCUAAAAACAUUUUCUUUUCUCUCUAAUCAAAAACCUUGCCUCAGCUCCUUGUGUUUACUGAAGCCAGUGUAGCUCUGGCCUGUUUGUAAGGCUGGCACUUGCUGUCCUGCCUGUUUAUAAACAGCUACUUGCCUGUGGAUAAAGUUGCCAUUAACUGCUAGAUCAAAAUCCCACUGGACUAUGCUUACUAAAAUCUAAAGCCUUAAGCUGCCAGUCCAACCCCACUGGUCAAAAGACAAUCACAUAACUGUAAAAACCAGCCAUGUGUCACAAUAAAAUCCUAUAAACCCCCAAAGCAAAAAAAAAAAAAAAAAAUCAUGUGACUCAUAUUUAUUUCACCUAAGGCCUAAAACUACUUAUUCAAAGUCUCAUGUUUCUGGCUCCCCAAAUUCAACUGCUUGUCUGCCUCUCAAGAUACAUCUGCACUCCAAAUGUUAGGGGAAAUGAUGUUAUAUUUUGGAUUCCUUCAAACUCCAUCAUCCUCCCCGCCCAGUGCCAGUCAUCAUAACUGAUCACAGAGAAUGUGUAAUAACAUCAAUUUUCCCCAUGAUGCAGCCCCACACAGGUCCCAGCACUGUUUUUUUCCUACAUCAUUCAUCCCUCUGUAGUAAAGGUCCUGAAAUCCAGCAGGACCC
Molecule: long non-coding RNA, 1487 nt
Organism: Bubalus bubalis (water buffalo)
Lineage: Eukaryota; Metazoa; Chordata; Mammalia; Artiodactyla; Bovidae
Exons: 2
Source: RefSeq, a predicted model, not a curated record